RNAcentral lists this small nuclear RNA (22 nucleotides) under Arabidopsis thaliana (thale cress). Its description in RNAcentral is "snRNA_12189". Lineage: Eukaryota; Viridiplantae; Streptophyta; Magnoliopsida; Brassicales; Brassicaceae. The record is from RNAcentral.
AACCCUCUAUCAAAUCUUCUAU